CCUGCUUCUGGUUUGGUUUAGAGGCAAUUCAAAUAUCAUAUGUCUCCUAUAGUUCCGUCCCAUCUACAAUUUGCAUGUCUCAAUCUUCUUUUUUGUUAUCCACAGGCAAAAUAUUAUUCAGUGCAAGCUCCUUCCACCCUGAUAGGAAAAGAUUUUCCCCUGUAUUGUCUCAGCUUUAAGAAAGGCAGAAAAAGACAAGUAAAGUCACUUGUUUGGGAUUUCAAGGAACAGGGAAAAAAUGGAACCUCUGGCAAAUGGGAAUGUGAUCUACAUGGGAAAAUCUCUGAGAAGACACCUACUCUUCCAUUGGUCUUUGUCUCUGAGGCUCCUGGAGCUGCAGCCUCAUAGGAAUGGCUCCUUGUUGGAAACUGGGGCAAAAAAGUACAGCACUGGGGACUCCAGAUGCCAUGUGGUGAAGAUACUCAGGAAGCUCUAUCCUGUGGGAAGGUCCACAUGGAGAGGAACUGAGGCUGCCCACCAACAGCCAGCGAGGAAUUGGAACCUUCUGCCCAUAGCCAUGUGACUGAGUCAUCUUGGAAACAGUACCUCCAGCCACAGG
Cercocebus atys (sooty mangabey) is the source of this 559-nucleotide long non-coding RNA. RefSeq lists it as uncharacterized. The transcript has 2 exons. The record is from RefSeq and is a predicted model, not a curated record. NCBI's taxonomy places the organism in Eukaryota, Metazoa, Chordata, Mammalia, Primates, Cercopithecidae.